Molecule: long non-coding RNA, 1171 nt
Organism: Hirundo rustica (Barn swallow)
Lineage: Eukaryota; Metazoa; Chordata; Aves; Passeriformes; Hirundinidae
Exons: 3
Source: RefSeq, a predicted model, not a curated record
AGGAGCUGGGAAAAGGAGUCAGAGCUGUGCCCCAGCCACGGAUUCUGCCUUUCCCACCCGAGCGUGGGGCUCUGACUGCUGGAAAUGAACAGAACAUUUUUAAUUGACUUCCAGUGCCAGGGAGCAGAGCUGUGGUGUUGCACUGUCUGUGCCCAGGUGAGGCUGUGAAAUCCACCUGGAUAUUUGAAAACUGGGUUUCCUUGUCCAAUCUAAGCAAAGGUUGCACGAGGUCACCUGGCUUUUCCCUUUCCCCUUCACCUCCCUAUUCCUAAAUUAGGAUUUCCAGGACAGCUUGGGAUGGGAAACUGCUCCCAAAAGCUUCUCUUUGAAUUCUGGGAUCUUCAGCUGGCACAAACUGAUGCUUCAUUAUCAAAAGUGUGUUUUAAAGUGCAGGGCAACACCUCCAGGAGCUGCUGUUUCCUACGAGUUCCUCACUCGAGAGAAAAGAAGGGACAACAAAAAUCAUCUGCAUCCAACAGCAAGGAGUUGAACAGGAUGAGUGGUGGAAGAUCUCCAGAUCCUGGAAAGGAUCCAGCGGAAUCCAGUGCUGCCUUUGGCACCUCAGACUGGGAACUCAGAACAAGCAGCCCUUGCUCUCAGGAGCUGCCCAGCAGAAUCCAGGAUCCAGAAUCUGUUUUUCUGGGAACCCAGAACAAGCAGCCCUUGCUCUCAGGAGCUGCCCAGCAGAAUCCAGGAUCCAGAAUCUGUUUUUCUGGGAACCCAGAACAAGCAGCCCUUGCUCUCAGGAGCUGCCCAGCAGCAGCACAGGGCUGGAUUUAAAUCCCAUCCCUCCGCUCUCCAGGAAGGUGAUGCAUUCCUUCCAGGAUCUACAGCCCCGGACAAACAUUCCCCACAAGUUUUCGCCUGAUUCUGUAUUUUCAGAAAAUGAAUAAGCUGUAAAAAAAAAAAAAACAAACAAACCAACCCCAAACCUGGAGGAGAAGGGCUGCACCCCGAGCACCACCUUGAGCAUCCCGGAACAGGAAGGCUCUGUCCCCGUAGCUGCUCGUCUCUGGGACUCCUGUCCCGUUCUGUCACCUCAAUUCGAUGUGAUUUUUGGAAGACUAAGCGUCCCUUCCCACCCCGCCGGCUCCCCGCUUACCUUCAGCGUAGCCUUGCGGACCUGCCCGAGCGCCCUGAGCCCGCCGAGGGAUCUCGCCUGGAAGUUGCC